UACAUGGGGUGCAAACGUUGCUCGGAAUUAUUGGGCGUAAAGCGCACGUAGGCGGUUCGUUAAGUCGGAUGUGAAAGCCCUCGGCUCAACUGAGGAAGUGCACCCGAAACUGGCGAGCUUGAGUACGAAAGAGGAUCGCGGAAUUCCCGGUGUAGAGGUGAAAUUCGUAGAUAUCGGGAGGAACACCAGUGGCGAAGGCGGCGAUCUGGGCAGAUACUGACGCUGAGGUGCGAAAGCGUGGGGAGCAAACAGG
RNAcentral lists this ribosomal RNA (253 nucleotides) under uncultured bacterium. RNAcentral's name for it is "partial 16S ribosomal RNA". It matches the Rfam family "Bacterial small subunit ribosomal RNA", at positions 524 to 776 of the family's 1533-position model. The record is from RNAcentral.